This 468-nucleotide ribosomal RNA is filed under the name uncultured bacterium. Its description in RNAcentral is "partial 16S ribosomal RNA". It matches the Rfam family "Bacterial small subunit ribosomal RNA", at positions 28 to 507 of the family's 1533-position model. The record is from RNAcentral.
GACGAACGCUGGCGGCGUGCUUAACACAUGCAAGUCGAACGGAAAGGCCCUGCUUUUGUUGUGUGCUCGAUUGGCGAACGGGUGAGUAACACGUGAGUAACCUGCCCUUGACUUUGGGAUAACUUCAGGAAACUCGGGCUAAUACCGGAUAUGAGCUCCUGCUGCAUGGUGUGGGUUGGAAAGUUUCGGCGGUUGGGGAUGGACUCGCGGCUUAUCAGCUUGUUGGUGGGGUAGUGGCUUACCAAGGCUUUGACGGGUAGCCGGCCUGAGAGGGUGACCGGCCACAUUGGGACUGAGAUACGGACCAGAAUCCUACGGGAGGCAGCAGUGGGGAAUAUUGCACAAUGGGCGGAAGCCUGAUGCAGAAACGCCGCGUGCGGGAUGACGGCAUUCGGGUUGUAAACAGCUUUCGAAUGUGACGAAGAGUGAGUGACGGUAAUGGGUAAAGAAGCACCGGCUAACUACGUG